AACGAACGCUGGCGGCAUGCCUAACACAUGCAGGUCGAACGAGACCUUCGGGUCUAGUGGCGCACGGGUGCGUAACGCGUGGGAACCUGCCCUUAGGUUCGGAAUAACUCCCCGAAAGGGGUGCUAAUACCGGAUAAUGUCUUCGGACCAAAGAUUUAUCGCCUUUGGAUGGGCCCGCGUUGGAUUAGCUAGUUGGUAGGGUAAAAGCCUACCAAGGCGACGACCCAUAGCUGGUCUGAGAGGAUGAUCAGCCACACUGGGACUGAGACACGGCCCAGACUCCUACGGGAGGCAGCAGUGGGGAAUAUUGGACAAUGGGCGAAAGCCUGAUCCAGCAAUGCCGCGUGAGUGAUGAAGGCCUUAGGGUUGUAAAGCUCUUUUACCCGGGAUGAUAAUGACAGUACCGGGAGAAUAAGCUCCGGCUAACUCCGUG
RNAcentral lists this ribosomal RNA (433 nucleotides) under uncultured bacterium. Its description in RNAcentral is "partial 16S ribosomal RNA". It matches the Rfam family "Bacterial small subunit ribosomal RNA", at positions 29 to 507 of the family's 1533-position model. The record is from RNAcentral.